RNAcentral lists this long non-coding RNA (1472 nucleotides) under Zostera marina. RNAcentral describes it as "long non-coding RNA (ZMAR_LNC003019)". The record is from RNAcentral. Lineage: Eukaryota; Viridiplantae; Streptophyta; Magnoliopsida; Alismatales; Zosteraceae.
AGAAAUUUGACGAAAAUAUUUUCCUUUUCCUCUUCUUUCCAAGAAGUCCAUUUAGUUAAAGGUGACGUUAUAUUACCUUUUACUAAUAUUCUUAUUUGACUUCUUACAUUGUUUGUAAAAGUCCUAUAAAAAACAAUCAAAUUAAAUAAUAAAUUAUAAUGAAUUAUAAUGAAAAUUAAUACUCACCCGCUCUUAAGAAUAGUGGCGGGAGUUGGUGCAUCCGGUUGUCUCAAUCCUUUUGUCCAUUUUCUUCGAUGUUCUUCAUCGAAGCGGUCCUCUACGAUUUCUUCAUCUAUUCUUGCAGAUUGUGAUCGUCCGUCGUUUGUUCGUUUACGACUCCGUCCGCGUGCCAUUUCUAAUGGAAUAUUUUCUAAAUGAAUAAAUAAAAUGAAAUUAUUCUGCUUGGAAAAAAAAAUGAAAGUAUAAAACAUAACUACAUAUUGAAUCUUUGGGGAAAACAUAAUCACUAAUCUCAUUUACCAUUCAAUCUUCAAUCAUUUCGAUUCAUAUAUUAUUUUGAAAUGGAUAUGUUAAACACUUUAAUUUUUAAGCAUUUUCUUCCUUAGUAAUUAUUUUGAAAAUUGUCGAUGCUGAUUUUUGUUAAUGAGGAUUUUUAAUUUAACGUUUUUAUGUUUACUUUUCUAUAGGUGGUUCACACUCAAGCCAAGGUUGUAGGAGAACCUCGAUUUGUUAAACAGCAAUUCCUGAAGAAGCUUGAUUAGUUGUGUAUCUCAUUGAUGCUGUAAGGGUGUUUCAAGAAACACUAUUUUCAGAACAAUUGUGAGGGUGUUUCUCUAUUUUCAGAACAAUUUUCAGAACACUAUUUGUAUCCAAGAAACACUAUAAGAGUGAGGGUAUUUCUCAACAAUUGUUUCAUUAUCUCAAAUAUGGUAAUGUCUAAUAGCCUGUACUACACAAUUUGGGCUGUCACACUUCAUUAUCACAUGCAACAUUUUUUCCUCUUCUCAUAUGGUAAUGUAUAUAUUUCUAAACCAAAUGGCAUGGGUGGAUGUAUUUUGUAAUGCAUUAAUGCACAUGCACACACAUGGAGUGAGCUAUGUCUUACUUGUUUUCAAAAUAUGGAAUGAUCAGGAUCGUUGAUCCUUCUGAAUUAUGCAAUUAACCAACCCAUAAAUCCAUAAUUUCGUAAUAAAGAAUUAAAGAUUGUGAACACAGCUGGAACAGAUAUGUCGUCCUGGAAAAGCAAACCAGCACCACUAAAUCUCAAUUUUCAAUCAGGGCAUUAGGAAUUCAGGAUGCCGCAUAUGCCAUAUAAAAUUAAUCAUUAGGAAUCAGGGCAUUACUUAAUCAUGUUUAAUAAAAUAAAUAUCACUAAUGGCCGAUUCAUUUAUUAGGUUAAAUGGAUUCCGAAUAUGCCAUAUAACACCAGAUAGGGUGAUCGAAUUCAUCAUACCUAGGACGAAUCAAGCUACCACAGAGGAAUCGCUGCUGCAGUUGUCGCUGCUAUGCGU